UACGGAGGGGGCGAGCGUUAUUCGGAAUUAUUGGGCGUAAAGGGCGCGUAGGCGGCUUGAUGUGUCAAAGGUGAAAUCCCUCGGCUCAACUGAGGAACUGCCUUUGAAACUGUCUGGCUUGAGGCCGGGAGAGGGUAGCGGAAUUCCCAGUGUAGCGGUGAAAUGCGCAGAUAUCAGGAGGAACACCAAUUGCGAAGGCAGCUCGCUGGGACGUUACUGACGCUGAGACGCGAAAGCUAGGGGAGCAAACAGG
RNAcentral lists this ribosomal RNA (253 nucleotides) under uncultured bacterium. RNAcentral's name for it is "partial 16S ribosomal RNA". It matches the Rfam family "Bacterial small subunit ribosomal RNA", at positions 524 to 776 of the family's 1533-position model. The record is from RNAcentral.